RNAcentral lists this unclassified non-coding RNA (252 nucleotides) under Hevea brasiliensis (rubber tree). The record is from RNAcentral. Lineage: Eukaryota; Viridiplantae; Streptophyta; Magnoliopsida; Malpighiales; Euphorbiaceae.
GCCUUGAAGCUCUCCAGGCGGGCGAUCUUCCUGAAGCGAGCUUAGGUAGCUGAGGCAAACCAAGGCGCAAGGCGUGCCUCAGGCGGUCAAGGCACACCAAGGCGUAAGGCGUGCCCCAACCACACCAAGCUCAAAAAUUCCAUUUUCUUUAGACCAUCAGGCAAAAAAAUAAAAAAAGGAGGAGGAGGAGAAAGCGUCUCUGCAACUCUAUAGGCUCUAGCUCCAACUUCGGUAGAAGAAUCUCCAGGUUAG